AGGAGCAACAGCCCCAGUGGCAGCGGCAGGUCUGGAGCCCUGGAGUCAGCUCCUGCAAUAACUACAAAGCUCUCGGUCUGCAGGGCCUGGACGCUCCGGGGCGGG
Molecule: non-coding RNA, 105 nt
Organism: Canis lupus familiaris (dog)
Lineage: Eukaryota; Metazoa; Chordata; Mammalia; Carnivora; Canidae
Source: Rfam